RNAcentral lists this ribosomal RNA (454 nucleotides) under uncultured Anaerolineaceae bacterium. RNAcentral's name for it is "bacterial SSU rRNA". It matches the Rfam family "Bacterial small subunit ribosomal RNA", at positions 919 to 1382 of the family's 1533-position model. Lineage: Bacteria; Bacillati; Chloroflexota; Anaerolineae; Anaerolineales; Anaerolineaceae. The record is from RNAcentral.
ACCCGCACAAGCAGCGGAGCGUGUGGUUUUAAUUCGUUUGUACUACAACGAAGAACCUUACCUGGGUUUGACAUAUAGGUUGUAGGGAACUGAAAAGGGACCGACCCUUCGGGGAGCCUAUACAGGUGUUGCAUGGCUGUCGUCAGCUCGUGUCGUGAGAUGUUCGGUUAAGUCCGCUAACGAGCGCAACCCUCGUCGUAUGUUAUAUGUGUCAUACGAGACUGCCGGUAAAAGCCGGAGGAAGGUGAGGAUGAUGUCAAGUCAGCAUGACCUUUAUAUCCAGGGCUACACACACGCUACAAUGGUCUGUACAAUGGGUAGCCAAGCCGCGAGGCGGAGCCAAUCCUGAAAGCAGGCCUCAGUUCAGAUUGCAGUCUGCAACCCGACUGCAUGAAGCCGGAGUUGCUAGUAACCGCAGGUCAGCAAUACUGCGGUGAAUACGUUCCCGGGUCUU